AUGAACAUCAUGGAUAAUCAUAUAAAUCUCAAACGACUCUCUGAAUUGACAGUUCUCGCUUAUGCCAUGACAGCAGUUGUUUCACGAGCAUCUAGAUCAUACUGUUGUGGCACUCAGAAUCAUGAUCAUGAAAUGCUGAUAGCUGAGAGUUUCGUGAAGGAAACGUAUGAAACCAUUGAUUUCAUAAUAGGUGAAAUACUUGAGAGUCCCACCCAAAAUACUGAUGAAACGUCAGUAAAAAUAGCAGAUAACAUUUUAAGUUCAAAGGGUAUGCAGCAGAACAUCCUGUUAAAAGAAACAUUAUUUAAAUAUUUUUCAAUGCAUUUCUUGUCUUAUGAUAUUUUUUUGUUAUUUCAUCCUUCAUGCAAGCUAUUUCUGGCUGGAAGUGGUAUUACUAUGUUAUCAAUCGUGAAUUAUUCCAAAGUUGCAUUAAAGUCUUUGCAUAAAAAGUGAAAUCAUUUGUCUCCUCAAUUCUCUUUCAAGCGUCAGAAAAAACACCUCUACUUAAGGAUAUUUAUUUCAAAAGGGCUGCUCAUACAUACACUACAUACAUACAUACUCAAUAUGUAACACUAAAUUUGAAUAGUAAUUAAGCGCGCAACGAUUCAGACUCUGGAGUAGGUAUGAAGUAUUACGCAAAAUUGAAGGAAAAUAAAAACUCAUUAUCCAUCUCAAGUUACUUGCUUUCAUGAAUAUCAUGCUCACAUCAAUACAAAAUAUGUCAAAAUAAAUCAAUACUUAUUUCCCAUGAUUUUUAUGGACAAAUUGUGUGAUCCUUUGAUUAUGUAAUCAAUAAUUUAAGAAAAUUGCGUCGGUGUUGCGGGUAUUGAACUAAACAAUGCAUGAUUUUCAAUGAUAUUACAUGCCCCCUGGAGAAAUCGCGUUUUUCCCGGAAAUUUUCUGUGAUUAUCGAAAAUUUUCUCAUUUUCUCACAAAAUUGCUGGAACAUUCACACAUUUCCUACAAAACCGAGAUGAAAUGAAAAUGAAAUGAGAUGACAUUUGUUUUGCUCUCCACAAAUCAGCUGUAAAUAUUGCGUCAUUUACGCAAUAUUGAGAUGAAAUUCGCGUAACAUCAUCUCUGUUUUACAUGCGGGAAUCAAGUGAGCAAGUAUUCGAACUCCCCUCUGUACUGCUGUGCUAAGGAAAAACGUCGUAUGAAUAUUGGAGAGGCCAAAUUUCCUCCGAUAAAAUUUUUACUUUUGAGAAAAAUUAUGAAUAUUUUUCCAUGAAAUUUUCAGAUAAUGUAGAUGAAUUGCGAACAAAAUUAUCUGAUUUGGAAGAAAAAUAUUCACAAGUUCACCAGGAAAUUCGUGUUUAAUCCAAGGAAAUUUGGCAACGCCUAAAGGUUCAUUCGGCGUUCUUCCUCAGGACGGUAGUGUAGGUAGGUGGUGUCAUGCAGUUUUAGCUUAUCUCAAGUUACAGGCUUCAUGAACAUUAUGCUCGCAUUAACAUUAAAGUUGCGUAUUUCCGACGAUAUACAUACAAUAGGGGCCUGAGGCCGCUGUGCGGCCGCCAACCACUGAAAAUAAGUAUACGUAAAAAUUCGUAGAACAUCAUGUUCAAAUUAUUUAAGAGAUGCAUGAAUUCAGAAGCUGACGGGUGCACGCAAAAGAAAGGGAAUGUAUCUCUGAUUCACCCAUUUUUUUUAUUCAUUGUUUUU
RNAcentral lists this long non-coding RNA (1662 nucleotides) under Bemisia tabaci. RNAcentral describes it as "lncRNA ENSSWEETPG004880". Lineage: Eukaryota; Metazoa; Arthropoda; Insecta; Hemiptera; Aleyrodidae. The record is from RNAcentral.